This 332-nucleotide long non-coding RNA is filed under the name Ananas comosus (pineapple). Its description in RNAcentral is "long non-coding RNA (ACOM_LNC008201)". The record is from RNAcentral. Lineage: Eukaryota; Viridiplantae; Streptophyta; Magnoliopsida; Poales; Bromeliaceae.
AUAUUAGUAUAAGUUGCCAACCGUCUCUAACGUAAGUGAUAAAAGGGCUUGGUGAUUGAUACUCGAGACCCAAGUUCGAAUCCUAAUUAAUUCAUAUUUUCAACUAAGUUUAUUUUUAAAUAAAAUAAAUGAAGCAAGUACCAUGCUACCUUUCUCUCAAAAAAAAAAAUAUUAGUAUAAGUUUUACACUCAUGUUAUUUUUUUUUUUAUAACGCUCAAAAUUUGGGAGAAUUUGUGAAUUUUUUUUUGGAGUGUACGGUUAUCAAUUUAAGAGUUUAGACAUUUUUUUUAAUUUUUAGUAUUAAAAAAUUAAUAGAAUUAGUGAAAAAAAU